This is a long non-coding RNA of Esox lucius (northern pike), 350 nucleotides long. RefSeq lists it as uncharacterized. NCBI's taxonomy places the organism in Eukaryota, Metazoa, Chordata, Actinopteri, Esociformes, Esocidae. The record is from RefSeq and is a predicted model, not a curated record. The transcript is spliced from 3 exons.
UGAAUGCAUCAGGACACUGGCGUUGAAUAGACAGAUUUUCCAAAUGUUUUGAAAUCCGUUUGGAGGCUGAGAAAGGAAGAAAGGGGGAAAAGAUGCGAGAGCCUUGAAGAAAUGGAUUUGGCCUAUAAACAAGCAAUGCAUGAUGGGAAUGGAUUCUGCACCCCUCCUAGAACGCCAAGGGGACAGGAUCAGGCAGGUCUGGGAUGGAGUUGCCUACUGAGAGAAGGAGAACAGAAUCCUCUGGAAAAGAUAACAGUAAACCCAAAAACGAACAAGAGGGUGUUUGAGCCUGAUGCUACAUUGCUACUUGGCGUGGUGUAGCAGUUUGAUGUGAAGAGAUGGAGAGAGGA